AGUGAACGCUGGCGGUAGGCCUAACACAUGCAAGUCGAACGGCAGCACAGUAAGAGCUUGCUCUUACGGGUGGCGAGUGGCGGACGGGUGAGGAAUACAUCGGAAUCUACUUUUUCGUGGGGGAUAACGUAGGGAAACUUACGCUAAUACCGCAUACGACCUACGGGUGAAAGCAGGGGAUCCUCGGACCUUGCGCGAUUGAAUGAGCCGAUGUCGGAUUAGCUAGUUGGCGGGGUAAAGGCCCACCAAGGCGACGAUCCGUAGCUGGUCUGAGAGGAUGAUCAGCCACACUGGAACUGAGACACGGUCCAGACUCCUACGGGAGGCAGCAGUGGGGAAUAUUGGACAAUGGGCGCAAGCCUGAUCCAGCCAUACCGCGUGGGUGAAGAAGGCCUUCGGGUUGUAAAGCCCUUUUGUUGGGAAAGAAAAGCAGCAGGUUAAUACCCCGCUGUUCUGACGGUACCUAAAGAAUAAGCACCGGCUAACUUCGUG
RNAcentral lists this ribosomal RNA (492 nucleotides) under uncultured bacterium. Its description in RNAcentral is "partial 16S ribosomal RNA". It matches the Rfam family "Bacterial small subunit ribosomal RNA", at positions 29 to 507 of the family's 1533-position model. The record is from RNAcentral.